This 253-nucleotide ribosomal RNA is filed under the name uncultured bacterium. RNAcentral describes it as "partial 16S ribosomal RNA". It matches the Rfam family "Bacterial small subunit ribosomal RNA", at positions 524 to 776 of the family's 1533-position model. The record is from RNAcentral.
UACGAAGGGGGCUAGCGUUGUUCGGAAUUACUGGGCGUAAAGGGCGCGUAGGCGGCCUUGCGAGUCAGAAGUGAAAGCCCCGGGCUCAACCCGGGAAUUGCUUUUGAAACUGCGAGGCUCGAGUUUGGUAGAGGUGAGUGGAAUACCCAGUGUAGAGGUAAAAUUCGUAGAUAUUGGGUGGAACACCGGUGGCGAAGGCGGCUCACUGGACCAAAACUGACGCUGAGGCGCGAAAGCGUGGGGAUCAAACAGG